GUUAUAAUUCUAGCCACCUAACAUACCC
This 28-nucleotide ribosomal RNA is filed under the name Salamandra salamandra alfredschmidti. RNAcentral describes it as "partial 16S ribosomal RNA". The record is from RNAcentral. Lineage: Eukaryota; Metazoa; Chordata; Amphibia; Caudata; Salamandridae.